AGCCAUGUGGUGAGCACAAAGCGAACUAUUCUUUCGCCUUUUACUAAAGAAUACCGUGUGCUCUCUACGCUAAGUGGCAUACGCCUAUUUUUGGAGGGAUCUCGCUUCACAGUGAGAC
This 118-nucleotide small nuclear RNA is filed under the name Arabidopsis thaliana x Arabidopsis arenosa. RNAcentral's name for it is "U5". It matches the Rfam family "U5 spliceosomal RNA". Rfam says of the family: U5 RNA is a component of both types of known spliceosome. Lineage: Eukaryota; Viridiplantae; Streptophyta; Magnoliopsida; Brassicales; Brassicaceae. The record is from RNAcentral.